RNAcentral lists this ribosomal RNA (274 nucleotides) under uncultured bacterium. RNAcentral's name for it is "partial 16S ribosomal RNA". It matches the Rfam family "Bacterial small subunit ribosomal RNA", at positions 523 to 796 of the family's 1533-position model. The record is from RNAcentral.
AUACGGAGGGUGCAAGCGUUACUCGGAAUCACUGGGCGUAAAGCGCGCGCAGGCGGCUAUUUAAGUUGGAUGUGAAAGCCUACGGCUCAACCGUAGAACUGCAUCCAAAACUGUCAAGCUAGGGUGUGGGAGAGGAAGAUGGAAUUAGUUGUGUAGGGGUAAAAUCCGUAGAGAUAACUAGGAAUACCAAAAGCGAAGGCAAUCUUCUGGAACACUACUGACGCUGAGGCGCGAAAGCGUGGGGAGCAAACGGGAUUAGAAACCCUAGUAGUCC